GUGCAAUGGCAUAAGCCAGCUUGACUGCGAGCGUGACGGCGCGAGCAGGUGCGAAAGCAGGUCAUAGUGAUCCGGUGGUUCUGAAUGGAAGGGCCAUCGCUCAACGGAUAAAAGGUACUCCGGGGAUAACAGGCUGAUACCGCCCAAGAGUUCAUAUCGACGGCGGUGUUUGGCACCUCGAUGUCGGCUCAUCACAUCCUGGGGCUGAAGUAGGUCCCAAGGGUAUGGCUGUUCGCCAUUUAAAGUGGUACGCGAGCUGGGUUUAGAACGUCGUGAGACAGUUCGGUCCCUAUCUGCCGUGGGCGCUGGAGAACUGAGGGGGGCUGCUCCUAGUACGAGAGGACCGGAGUGGACGCAUCACUGGUGUUCGGGUUGUCAUGCCAAUGGCACUGCCCGGUAGCUAAAUGCGGAAGAGAUAAGUGCUGAAAGCAUCUAAGCACGAAACUUGC
This 449-nucleotide ribosomal RNA is filed under the name Escherichia coli. RNAcentral describes it as "partial 23S ribosomal RNA". It matches the Rfam family "Bacterial large subunit ribosomal RNA", at positions 2349 to 2797 of the family's 2925-position model. Lineage: Bacteria; Pseudomonadati; Pseudomonadota; Gammaproteobacteria; Enterobacterales; Enterobacteriaceae. RNAcentral also lists the same sequence under 1 other name. The record is from RNAcentral.